GACAGAGGGUGCAAACGUUGUUCGGAAUUACUGGGCGUAAAGCGUGUGUAGGCGGCCUUAUAAGUCGGAUGUGAAAGCCCAGGGCUCAACCCUGGAAGUGCACUCGAUACUGUAAGGCUCGAGUACUGGAGAGGUUGGUGGAAUUCUCGGUGUAGAGGUGAAAUGCGUAGAUAUCGGGAGGAACACCUGUGGCGAAAGCGGCGCACUGGACCACAACUGACGCUGAGGCGCGAAAGCUAGGGGAGCAAACAGG
Molecule: ribosomal RNA, 253 nt
Filed under: uncultured bacterium
Lineage: Bacteria
Description: partial 16S ribosomal RNA
Rfam family: Bacterial small subunit ribosomal RNA
Source: RNAcentral